AGUCGAACGGCAGCACAGAGGAGCUUGCUCCUUGGGUGGCGAGUGGCGGACGGGUGAGGAAUACAUCGGAAUCUACUCUGUCGUGGGGGAUAACGUAGGGAAACUUACGCUAAUACCGCAUACGACCUAAGGGUGAGAGCAGGGGAUCUUCGGACCUUGCGCGAUUGAAUGAGCCGAUGUCGGAUUAGCUAGUUGGCGGGGUAAAGGCCCACCAAGGCGACGAUCCGGAUCUGGAUCUGAGAGGAUGAUCAGGCACACUGGAACUGAGACACGGUCCAGACUCCUACGGGAGGCAGCGGUGGGGAAUAUUGGACAAUGGGCGCGAGCCUGAUCCAGCCAUACCGCGUGGGUGAAGAAGGCCUUCGGGUUGUAAAGCCCUUUUGUUGGGAAAGAAAUCCAGCCGGCUAAUACCUGGUUGGGAUGACGGUACCCAAAGAAUAAGCACCGGCUAACUUCGUGCCAGCAGCCGCGGUAAUACGAAGGGUGCAAGCGUUACUCGCAAUUACUGGGCGUAAAGCGUGCGUAGGUGGUUAUUUAAGUCCGUUGUGAAAACCCUGGGCUCAACCUGGGAACUGCACUGGAUACUGGAUGACUAGAAUGUGGUAGAGGGUAGCGGAAUUCCUGGUGUAGCAGUGAAAUGCGUAGAGAUCACGAGGAACAUCCAUGGCGAACGCAGCUACCUGGACCAACAUUGACACUGAGGCACGAAAGCGUGGGGAGCAAACAAGAUUAGAUACCCUGGUAGUCCACGCCCUAAACGAUGCGAACUGGAUGCUGCGUGCCAUUUGGCACGCAGUAUCGACUCUAACGCGUUAAGCUCGCCGCCUCGGGAGUACGGUCGCACGACUGAAACUCAAAGGAAUUGACGGGGGCCCGCGCAAGCAGUGGAGUAUGUGGAUUAAUUCGAUGAAACGCUAACAACCUUACGUGGGCUUGACAUGUCGAGAACUUUUCAGAAGAUGGAUUGGGGCCUUCGGAAACNCCAACACGGGUGCUUCUUGGCUGUCCCCGCCUCGUGUCGUGGGAUGUUGGGUU
This 1035-nucleotide ribosomal RNA is filed under the name Stenotrophomonas sp. RNAcentral's name for it is "bacterial SSU rRNA". It matches the Rfam family "Bacterial small subunit ribosomal RNA", at positions 60 to 1081 of the family's 1533-position model. Lineage: Bacteria; Pseudomonadati; Pseudomonadota; Gammaproteobacteria; Lysobacterales; Lysobacteraceae. The record is from RNAcentral.